Molecule: ribosomal RNA, 466 nt
Filed under: uncultured bacterium
Lineage: Bacteria
Description: partial 16S ribosomal RNA
Rfam family: Bacterial small subunit ribosomal RNA
Source: RNAcentral
GACGAACGCUGGCGGCGUGCUUAACACAUGCAAGUCGAACGGAAAGGCCUCUUUCUGGGGGUGCUCUCGUGUCGAACGCGUGAGUAACACGUGUGUAUCCUGCCCUUUACUUUUUGGUAACUUCUCGAGACUCUGGCUCAUACCGCGUAUGAGCUCCUGCUGCGUGUUGUGGGUUGUGAAGUUUCGGCGGUUGGGGAUGGACUCGCGGCUUAUCAGCUUGUUGGUGGGGUAGUGGCUUACCAAGGCUUUGACGGGUAGCCGGCCUGAGAGGGUGACCGGCCACAUUGGGACUGAGAUACGGCCCAGACUCCUACGGGAGGCAGCAGUGGGGAAUAUUGCACAAUGGGCGGAAGCCUGAUGCAGCAACGCCGUGUGCGGGAUGACGGCCUUCGGGUUGUAAACCGCUUUCGCCUGUGACGAAGCGUGAGUGACGGUAAUGGGUAAAGAAGCACCGGCUAACUACGUG